UAUAAGAACACAAUGAGUUGUUCGAGGCUCCCUAACUAUUGUCUGACAGUUCCUAUGUUUCUUUCAGGAUAAUUACUCAGUCACAUAUUCAACAGUGAAGUGUUCGAAUAUUAUUGAGGAGACAUGUAAGGAUCCUCAAGAAGAACUAACUGGAUCAUCUCCCAACAUCUAUGAGAAUUUCAGUUAAAACUAGCUUCAAACAAAC
Molecule: non-coding RNA, 205 nt
Organism: Pelobates cultripes (western spadefoot toad)
Lineage: Eukaryota; Metazoa; Chordata; Amphibia; Anura; Pelobatidae
Source: the annotation of a GenBank genome assembly